Long non-coding RNA from Photinus pyralis (common eastern firefly), 564 nucleotides. RefSeq lists it as uncharacterized. The transcript has 2 exons. The record is from RefSeq and is a predicted model, not a curated record. NCBI's taxonomy places the organism in Eukaryota, Metazoa, Arthropoda, Insecta, Coleoptera, Lampyridae.
AUAUUCAAAAGCGUUGGGUGUUAGCUUGUAACCGGCCAGGUCACAUUAAUAUGAAAACUACCAGAGUAUGUUCGAAACAUUUUGACGAGUCGUCUUAUGAACGGAAUUUGCGGUUUGAACUACUGUGCUAUACCGCCCGAAAUCGUCGACUGUUGAAACCAGACGCCGUACCAUUUCUCAAUUUGCCACUGGGAAACUCAAAGGUUGUGAAAGGGGAAUCGGCCCGAACCAGUCGCAUUAACAAAAGAAAUAGGUCAAAAUUAGUUGCGACUCUUCUACAAACCAGGUAAGUUUCUUGUUUUGGUGUAUUUGAAAUUGGUUUAGAGACGUUUUCAGAGGGAAAUCUACCGUAAAGUAUUAUUAGCUAUAUUUCAUGGUUUUGUUUAGUUAUAGGAGUGUUGGCGAUGGUCGUUUUGGUAAUAAGAUUGAAGUAAAUCAGGUGUUGGAUGACAUAUUAUUAAUAUUUCGAAUGCUGUAGCGCAAACAGAAGAUGUUAGCACUAGAAGAGAUGCAAGUACGAACACUGAUGCUGACAACAGAGACGAGAUAAUUGCCAAAUUCAAA